Molecule: long non-coding RNA, 311 nt
Organism: Herpailurus yagouaroundi (jaguarundi)
Lineage: Eukaryota; Metazoa; Chordata; Mammalia; Carnivora; Felidae
Exons: 2
Source: RefSeq, a predicted model, not a curated record
GGCAGAGAGAGAGAGAGAGAGAGAGAGAUCAAAGAGGAAAGGAGAGGGACAGAGCAGCCACCAGGUGCCACAGUCAGCACUGGAUGUGCCACAUGAGUCAGAUCUCAAGUGAUAUUCACAACAACCCUGAGGCGAGAGUGGACUCUCGAGUUACAUGACGGAACCCAAGGGUAGAGGGCAAGAAACUGGCCCAAGGUCACACCGUCACACCGCUGGUACAGCCAAGCAUUAAGGCGAAAACGCUGAGCGAAAGGAGCCAAGAGCAGAGAAAGUUCUGUGUACUUUGGGAGUAAACAAAAAUGAAAAGUGCA